RNAcentral lists this ribosomal RNA (817 nucleotides) under uncultured bacterium. RNAcentral's name for it is "bacterial SSU rRNA". It matches the Rfam family "Bacterial small subunit ribosomal RNA", at positions 41 to 838 of the family's 1533-position model. The record is from RNAcentral.
AACGCGUCUUGGUUAUUGAUGUUAAGUGCUUGCAUUUAACUGAUUUCCCAUUGAGACGAGUGGCGAACUGGUGAGUAACACGUGGGUACCCUGCCCUUGAAGUAGGGGAUAACACUUGGAAACAGGUGCUAAUACCGUAUAACAACCAAAACCACCUGGUUUUGGUUUAAAAGAUGGCUUCGGCUAUCACUUUAGGAUGGACCCGCGGCGUAUUAGCUUGUUGGUAAGGUAACGGCCUACCAAGGCAAUGAUACGUAGCCGACCUGAGAGGGUAAUCGGCCACAUUGGGACUGAGACACGGCCCAAACUCCUACGGGAGGCAGCAGUAGGGAAUCUUCCACAAUGGACGAAAGUCUGAUGGAGCAACGCCGCGUGAGUGAUGAAGGGUUUCGGCUCGUAAAACUCUGUUGUUGGAGAAGAACAGGUGUGAGAGUAACUGUUCACAUCUUGACGGUAUCCAACCAGAAAGCCGCGGCUAACUACGUGCCAGCAGCCGCGGUAAUACGUAGGUGGCAAGCGUUGUCCGGAUUUAUUGGGCGUAAAGCGAGCGCAGGCGGUUUCUUAGGUCUGAUGUGAAAGCCUUCGGCUUAACCGGAGAAGUGCAUCGGAAACCAGGAGACUUGAGUGCAGAAGAGGACAGUGGAACUCCAUGUGUAGCGGUGAAAUGCGUAGAUAUAUGGAAGAACACCAGUGGCGAAGGCGGCUGUCUGGUCUGUAACUGACGCUGAGGCUCGAAAGCAUGGGUAGCGAACAGGAUUAGAUACCCUGGUAGUCCAUGCCGUAAACGAUGAGUGCUAAGUGUUGGAGGGUUUCCGCC